Non-coding RNA from Clostridiales bacterium GWC2_40_7, 101 nucleotides. Lineage: Bacteria; Bacillati; Bacillota; Clostridia; Eubacteriales. The record is from Rfam.
AAAGUCCUUACUGGGAAAGGUCUAGCCAACCACCCAUACCGAGUGUGGCGUUGAAGUUGGUAACAACAAAACGAAGCGAACACAGGGAAUCAUAUAGACCA